AACAGAGAGAGGAAGCUCAGCUCUUCACAGAGUGUUGGGGAAUGUGGCAUCCAGGCAGCUGCUGGUAAGUGUGAGUCAGCGUGUGUGGUUCAGUCUGUAAGUGUGGGGGGUUCAGUCUGUGUGUGUAUGUGUGUGUGUGUGUGUGUGUGUGUGUAUGGGGUCAGUCUGUGUUUGUGUAUAGCUCAGUCUGUGUGUGUGUGUGUGUGUGUGUAUGGGGUCAGUCUG
This is a non-coding RNA of Pelobates cultripes (western spadefoot toad), 225 nucleotides long. Lineage: Eukaryota; Metazoa; Chordata; Amphibia; Anura; Pelobatidae. The record is from the annotation of a GenBank genome assembly.